Psammomys obesus (fat sand rat) is the source of this 299-nucleotide long non-coding RNA. RefSeq lists it as uncharacterized. The record is from RefSeq and is a predicted model, not a curated record. Lineage: Eukaryota; Metazoa; Chordata; Mammalia; Rodentia; Muridae. The transcript has 3 exons.
CCUGCUUCUCCCGUGAAAUGAAUUUCUGUCGAAGCCGCUUGAGAAUCUUCACUGAAUGUAUUAGAUGGUUUUCACUAUUCUUCAGAAACUGUUAAUUCUUUAAAAACAAGCCUCAUGCUUCUUGCUACCUAUCUGGGAUGUGUCAGAUCCAGCCGUCCUCAGUGCCCAGCGGUGCAGCCCUGAGCACAACAUCCAGCUUUGCUAAGUUGCUCUGCUGUCCCCAAUUCACCAGAAGAUUUGUGAGUUCACGGAAGUUUUGCUGGGGUGGAAACAUCUUUCACUAAGGAGCGGAAAGAGUU